GAGGUGGUGGCCCUGAUCACAGUGGCCUCUUUGGGUCUGAGGACAUGAGGACAAGCCUUCCCCACCCUAGGGGGCUCCUCACCCUGCCACCUUGCCCACCCACCCACCAUAUCCCCUUUUUUCAGUGUUACUGGUGCGGAAUCUGAACUCAGAUGACCAGGCUGUUGUGCUGAAGGCCCUGAGAUUGGCGCCCGAGGGGCGUCUGCGAAGGGACGGGCUGCGGGCCCUCAGCUCCCUGCUCGUCCAUGGCAACAACAAGGUCAUGGCUGCUGUCAGCACCCAGCUCCGAAGCCUGUCACUGGGCCCUACCUUCCGGGAGAGGGCCCUCCUGUGCUUCCUGGACCAGCUGGAGGAUGAGGACGUGCAGACUCGAGUGGCU
This 379-nucleotide small RNA is filed under the name Pongo abelii (Sumatran orangutan). Its description in RNAcentral is "retained intron". The record is from RNAcentral. Lineage: Eukaryota; Metazoa; Chordata; Mammalia; Primates; Hominidae.